RNAcentral lists this ribosomal RNA (501 nucleotides) under uncultured Actinomycetes bacterium. Its description in RNAcentral is "bacterial SSU rRNA". It matches the Rfam family "Bacterial small subunit ribosomal RNA", at positions 381 to 892 of the family's 1533-position model. Lineage: Bacteria; Bacillati; Actinomycetota; Actinomycetes. The record is from RNAcentral.
ACCUGAUGCAGCGACGCCGCGUGAGGGAUGACGGCCUUCGGGUUGUAAGCCUCUUUCAGUAGGGAAGAAGCGAAAGUGACGGUACCUGCAGAAGAAGCGCCGGCUAACUACGUGCCAGCAGCCGCGGUAAUACGUAGGGCGCAAGCGUUAUCCGGAAUUAUUGGGCGUAAAGAGCUCAUAGGCGGUUUGUCGCGUCUGCUGUGAAAGACCGGGGCUCAACUCCGGUUCUGCAGUGGGUACGGGCAGACUAGAGUGCAGUAGGGGAGACUGGAAUUCCUGGUGUAGCGGUGAAAUGCGCAGAUAUCAGGAGGAACACCGAUGGCGAAGGCAGGUCUCUGGGCUGUAACUGACGCUGAGGAGCGAAAGCAUGGGGAGCGAACAGGAUUAGAUACCCUGGUAGUCCAUGCCGUAAACGUUGGGCACUAGGUGUGGGGGACAUUCCACGUUUUCCGCGCCGUAGCUAACGCAUUAAGUGCCCCGCCUGGGGAGUACGGCCGCAAG